GGUUGAUCCUGCCAGUAGUCAUAUGCUUGUCUCAAAGAUUAAGCCAUGCAUGUCUAAGUGUAAACAAAUUUAUACUGUGAAACUGCGAAUGGCUCAUUAAAUCAGUUAUAGUUUAUUUGAUAGUACCUUACUACUUGGAUAACCGUGGUAAUUCUGCAGCUAAUACAUGCAACAAGUCCCGACUUUUUGGAAGGGAUGUACUUAUUAGAUUUAAGCCAACCCGGGCAACCGGAUUUCAGGUGAUUCAUGAUAAUUUUUCGAAUCGUAUGGCUUCAUGCCGACGAUGGUUCAUU
Molecule: ribosomal RNA, 293 nt
Filed under: uncultured eukaryote
Lineage: Eukaryota
Description: partial 18S ribosomal RNA
Rfam family: Eukaryotic small subunit ribosomal RNA
Source: RNAcentral